Molecule: ribosomal RNA, 445 nt
Filed under: uncultured bacterium
Lineage: Bacteria
Description: bacterial SSU rRNA
Rfam family: Bacterial small subunit ribosomal RNA
Source: RNAcentral
GUAAGGAAUAUUGGACAAUGGGCGCAAGCCUGAUCCAGCCAUGCCGCGUGAAGGAUGAAUGCCCUAUGGGUUGUAAACUUCUUUUAGCAGGGAAAAAACCCCUCGAUGCGUCGAGGGCUGAUGGUACCUGCGGAAUAAGGAUCGGCUAACUCCGUGCCAGCAGCCGCGGUAAUACGGAGGAUCCAAGCGUUAUCCGGAUUUAUUGGGUUUAAAGGGUGCGUAGGCGGAUAAAUAAGUCAGUGGUGAAAGCCUGCAGCUCAACUGCAGAACUGCCAUUGAUACUGUUUAUCUUGAAUAUGGUUGAGGUGGGCGGAAUAUGACAUGUAGUGGUGAAAUACUUAGAUAUGUCAUAGAACACCGAUUGCGAAGGCAGCUCACUAAGCCAUCAUUGACGCUGAGGCACGAAAGCGUGGGGAGCAAACAGGAUUAGAAACCCCUGUAGUCC